RNAcentral lists this ribosomal RNA (465 nucleotides) under Triticum aestivum (bread wheat). RNAcentral's name for it is "partial small subunit ribosomal RNA". The record is from RNAcentral. Lineage: Eukaryota; Viridiplantae; Streptophyta; Magnoliopsida; Poales; Poaceae.
AUGGUGAUGGGAUACUCUCCCGCUGAGUCAGUGGCCAUCGCCAAUAGACUUAAUUGCCGCCUGGGCUCGUUCCCCACUACCUACCUUGGGACGCCCAUCAGUGACUCACGCCUCUUGGCCGCCGAUCUUCGCCCCUCCGUGACCAAGCUCCAGACUAGAUGCGAGCCCUGGCAGGGGAGGUGGCUCUCCAAGGCGGCCCGGACUAUUCUUAUCAACUCCUCCCUCUCCAGCCUCCUCUUAUUUCUUAUGAGUUUCUACAGCCUCCACGAAUCUCUCCAUAAGGAGAUCGCCAAAAUCCAGUCCCGCUUCUAUUGGGCUGGCGAGCACGGCAAGCAGAAGUAUCACAUGGUCAGCUGGCCUGACAUCUGCAAGCCUCGGGAGCAGGGUGGAUUGGGGAUCAUGUGCUCUAAGCGGAUGAAUAUUGCCCUCCUAUCCCGGUGGUUGUGGCGCAUCUCGCAGGGUUAG